UGACCUUGUAGUUUAAUAGGAUAGAAUAUAGGAUUCCGAUUCCUAUGGUAUGGGUUCGAAUCCCUUCAAGGUUAUAUU
This 78-nucleotide transfer RNA is filed under the name Blattabacterium sp. (Blattella germanica) str. Bge. RNAcentral's name for it is "tRNA-Arg". It matches the Rfam family "tRNA". From Rfam's summary of the family: Transfer RNA (tRNA) molecules are approximately 80 nucleotides in length. Their secondary structure includes four short double-helical elements and three loops (D, anti-codon, and T loops). Lineage: Bacteria; Pseudomonadati; Bacteroidota; Flavobacteriia; Flavobacteriales; Blattabacteriaceae. The record is from RNAcentral.